Hippocampus comes (tiger tail seahorse) is the source of this 399-nucleotide long non-coding RNA. RefSeq lists it as uncharacterized. Lineage: Eukaryota; Metazoa; Chordata; Actinopteri; Syngnathiformes; Syngnathidae. The transcript is spliced from 5 exons. The record is from RefSeq and is a predicted model, not a curated record.
UGACAACAACUCCAACUAGGAGUGGCAAAGGGCCAGCUUGUAGCCUCCUUUUUUGAAGAAUGGUCCACUAUGAGCCAAACUGCUGAAAAUCACUCAGCCCGAGUUUGGGGGAGUUGGAGCCAUGUGGGGUUAAAAAGGGGCUCGACUGUGGUUCCCCUCACGCUGUCAAUAAUGCUCGGGCCUCCCGGGUCGUCCUCGCCUUGGCUGAUGGAUGUGCUCACACCUCCGAGAGGCAGACCGCUCCCAUGACGUCGUCGACGUCUUAAUGGCCGGAGAAGUAAAACGUGGCAUUUUCCUUGGAGGUUAAAAAGAAUGCGUAGUUCGGCGGCGGUUCUACAGGGCUCUCCUCUAAAUGUUCCUUCCCGCAUUGUGUGCCAUGUUCAUGGCCCAAAGUCCCAG